Molecule: ribosomal RNA, 257 nt
Filed under: uncultured microorganism
Description: partial 16S ribosomal RNA
Rfam family: Archaeal small subunit ribosomal RNA
Source: RNAcentral
GCACAGCAGUCGCGAAACCUUUACAAUGUCUUCACGGACGAUAGGGGAAUCCUGAGUGCUCUAGCAUUGCUAGAGCUUUUGCUUACUGAAAAAGGUAGGCGAAUAAGUGGUGGGUAAGACGGGUGCCAGCCGCCGCGGUAAUACCCGCGCCACAAGUGGUGACCACGUUUAUUGGGUCUAAAGCGUUCGUAGCCGGCCUGAUAAAUUCUCGGUGAAAUCCUGUGUAAAUCAUAGGGCGUGCCGGGAAGACUGUCAAA